UUCCGGUUGAUCCUGCCGGACCCGACUGCUAUUUGGGUGAGAAUAAGCCAUGCGAGUUGAAUGGGAUACCUAAAGUUCCCAUAGCAAACUGCUCAGUAACACAUGAUCAACUUACCCUAUAGAGAAAAAUAACCUCGGGAAACUGAGGAUAAUGUUUCAUAAUUGAAUUGGCUUGGAAAAGUUUUUCAAUGAAAGGGAUAAAAAAAAUGGUUUUUAUCUGCUAUAGGAUAGGAUCGUGUUCGAUUAUGGUUGUUGGUGAGAUAAUGGCUCACCAAGCCGAUAAUCGAUAGGGGCCGUGAGAGCGGGAGCCCCGAGAUGGGUACUGAGACAACGACCCAGGCCUUACGAGGCGCAGCAGGCGCGGAACCUCCGCAAUACACGAAAGUGUGACGGGGUUACCCAAAGUGUUCAAUAGAACUGUGGUAGGUGAGUAAUGUCCCCUACUAGAAAGGAGAGGGCAAGGCUGGUGCCAGCCGCCGCGGUAAAACCAGCUCUUCAAGUGGUCGGGAUAAUUAUUGGGCUUAAAGUGUCCGUAGCCGGUUUAGUAAGUUCCUGGUAAAAUCGGGUAGCUUAACUAUCUGCAUGCUAGGAAUACUGCUAUACUAGAGGGCGGGAGAGGUCUGAGGUACUACAGGGGUAGGGGUGAAAUCUUAUAAUCCUUGUAGGACCACCAGUGGCGAAGGCGUCAGACUGGAACGCGCCUGACGGUGAGGGACGAAAGCCAGGGGAGCGAACCGGAUUAGAUACCCGGGUAGUCCUGGCCGUAAACGAUGCAUACUAUGUGAUGGCACGGCCAUGAGCCGUGUCAGUGCCGUAGGGAAACCGUUAAGUGUGCCGCCUGGGAAGUACGGUCGCAGGGCUAAAACUUAAAGGAAUUGGCGGGGGAGCACCACAAGGGGUGAAGCCUGCGGUUCAAUUGGAUUCAACGCCGGAAAUCACUAGUGCGGCCG
This 950-nucleotide ribosomal RNA is filed under the name uncultured archaeon. Its description in RNAcentral is "bacterial SSU rRNA". It matches the Rfam family "Archaeal small subunit ribosomal RNA", at positions 1 to 941 of the family's 1478-position model. The record is from RNAcentral.